CACACAGGCACGAUGUGUUGCUGGGUUUCUGUUACUGUUCUUCUUAUAACUUACUUGCAAUGUUGCCAGGCUCGAAGUUUGAACCAGCCUUCAUCACUGACCGUGUCUCUGGAACAGAAUGCUGAAAUCACCUGCACAGGCAGUGUUAGUGGUAAUAGUCUACGUUGGCACCAGCAGAAGCCUGGGAAAUCCCCAUGGUACCUUGGGUAUGACAGCAGCAAAGCCUCUGGAAUCCCUGAUCGUUUCUCUCUGACCAAAGACACUUCAGCUAAAAUCGCUAAACUAACCAUCUCUGGUGUUCAGGCAGAGGAUGAUGCUAAUUAUUACUGUAGCACAUGGGUCAGUGACCCUACUGUAUACACAGUGAUGCAGUAA
Molecule: non-coding RNA, 375 nt
Organism: Protopterus annectens (West African lungfish)
Lineage: Eukaryota; Metazoa; Chordata; Ceratodontiformes; Protopteridae
Source: the annotation of a RefSeq genome assembly